Molecule: long non-coding RNA, 147 nt
Organism: Empidonax traillii (willow flycatcher)
Lineage: Eukaryota; Metazoa; Chordata; Aves; Passeriformes; Tyrannidae
Exons: 3
Source: RefSeq, a predicted model, not a curated record
CCUGAAGGGAGUCACUAAUUUGACAGCUCCUCCCAGUUUAGUGUUAUUGGCAAACUUACUUAGUAUUCCUUUGAGCCCUGCAUCCAAGUUACUAAUGAAGAUAUUGAAAAGAACUGGUCUGAGUAUGGAGCUCUGUGGAACCCCACU